RNAcentral lists this ribosomal RNA (1383 nucleotides) under Chaetothyriales sp. Its description in RNAcentral is "eukaryotic LSU rRNA". It matches the Rfam family "Eukaryotic large subunit ribosomal RNA", at positions 34 to 1442 of the family's 3401-position model. The record is from RNAcentral. Lineage: Eukaryota; Fungi; Ascomycota; Eurotiomycetes; Chaetothyriales.
UUAAGCAUAUCAAUAAGCGGAGGAAAAGAAACCAACAGGGAUUGCCCUAGUAACGGCGAGUGAAGCGGCAAAAGCUCAAAUUUGAAAUCUGGCUUCGGCCCGAGUUGUAAUUUGUAGAGGAUGUUUCGGGCACCGCCCCGGCGUAAGUCCCUUGGAACAGGGCGUCAUAGAGGGUGAGAAUCCCGUCUGGCGUCGUGGUAGGGCCCAUGUGAAACUCCUUCGACGAGUCGAGUUGUUUGGGAAUGCAGCUCAAAAUGGGUGGUAAAUUUCAUCUAAAGCUAAAUACUGGCCAGAGACCGAUAGCGCACAAGUAGAGUGAUCGAAAGAUGAAAAGCACUUUGAAAAGAGAGUUAAACAGUAUGUGAAAUUGUUGAAAGGGAAGCGCUUACAACCAGACUUGAGCCCGUCGGUUCCCCCUCGCUUCUGCGUGGGCUACUCCGGCGGGUCCAGGCCAACAUCGGUUCGGGUGGCUGGUCAAAGGCCCCGGGAAUGUACCUCACCUUCGGGUUAGGCUUAUAGCCCGGGGUGUCAUGCGGCCUACCUGGACCGAGGAACGCGCUUCGGCUCGGAUGUUGGCGUAAUGGUUGUCAGCGACCCUUCUUGAAACACGGACCAAGGAGUCGAAGAGCUAUGCGAGUGUUUGGGUGUCAAACCCGUACGCGUAAUGAAAGUGAACGGAGGUAGGAAGCUUCGGCUGCACUAUCGACCGAUCCUGAUGUUCUCGGAUGGAUUUGAGUAAGAGCAUAACUCUCCGGACCCGAAAGAUGGUGAACUAUGCCUGAAUAGGGUGAAGCCAGAGGAAACUCUGGUGGAGGCUCGCAGCGGUUCUGACGUGCAAAUCGAUCGUCAAAUUUGGGUAUAGGGGCGAAAGACUAAUCGAACCAUCUGGUAGCUGGUUCCUGCCGAAGUUUCCCUCAGGAUAGCAGUAACGUUUUCAGUUUUAUGAGGUAAAGCGAAUGAUUAGAGGCCUUGGGGUUGAAACAACCUUAACCUAUUCUCAAACUUUAAAUAUGUAAGAAGUCCUUGUUACUUAGUUGAACGUGGACAUUUGAAUGUAUCGUUACUAGUGGGCCAUUUUUGGUAAGCAGAACUGGCGAUGCGGGAUGAACCGAACGUGAGGUUAAGGUGCCGGACUGCACGCUCAUCAGACACCACAAAAGGUGUCAAUGCAUCUAGACAGCCGGACGGUGGCCAUGGAAGUCGGAAUCCGCUUAGGAGUGUGUAACAACUCACCGGCCGAAUGCAUUGGCCCUGAAAAUGGAUGGCGCUUAAGCGUGCGACCUAUACCUCGCCGUCAGGGUUGACAUGAUGCCCUGACGAGUAGGCAGGCGUGGAGGUUUGUGACGAAGCCUUGGGGGUGACCCCGGGUCGAACAACCUCUAG